Molecule: non-coding RNA, 3712 nt
Organism: Anolis sagrei ordinatus
Lineage: Eukaryota; Metazoa; Chordata; Lepidosauria; Squamata; Anolidae
Source: RefSeq, a predicted model, not a curated record
UUCUGUCCCUAUUUUGAAACCAUCUUCAAAGGUUGAGAACCACUGGUUUAGAAUUAUUUUUCUGCAUAAUUCCAUAAGUCAUGUUCAUUUGAGUGACUAUUGUUUUAAAUGACUAUCAAUGUCCAUCAGCAUCACUGCUCAUUUGAAGAUUGCACACUUUCCCCGUGCUUUCCAUCACAGCACCAUAGAUGGCUUCCAACUUUUAUAAGGCUCUGACUAAAAGACCAAUAGUGCAUUCCUUUCUACAACCCAAUAGAUCAGGCAUGGGCAAACUAAGCCCCAGGCCCUCCUCAUUUCCCCUGUCCUUUUGGCAUAAGGACGUGGUAGCCCAUCACAUCCUUAUGCAGAAGGGACAGGGGAGGAAGACACACAGCAGCUGAGAGCCCUCUGGAGUGCUCUCAGCCACUGCAUGUUUUGCCCUCCUCCUAGCAUAAGGAUGGUGCAAGAAAUCCCAUCCUUAUGCUGAGAGGAUGGCCCGAGGAAGGCAUAUAGCAGUUGAGAGUCCUCUGGAGCACUCUUGGCCGUCACCUGUUUCGCUCUCCUCCUGGCAUAAUGCCAAGAGGACAGCUCAAAGAUUGUGGGCAGAUUAUCGGGACACGUCUUGUUUUCCUACCGACAUAAGGAUGGGCCAAGCAGCCCUGUCCUUAUGCCAGGAGGACAACCUGAGGAUGACCCGGGCCCUGCCCCACUCCCUCCUGGUCCCACCUUUUUCCAGCCCAUCCCCUCCAAGGCCCAUCCCACCCAGCAUGUGCCCAGCUGCCCUCCCUCCCAGCCGAGCCCUCUCGGCCAGGCCCACAAUGCAGCCCCAAGGCAAAAAAGUUUGCCCAUGUCUGCAGUAGAUGCUGGUAUCCAUUCAAUUUGUUGCAGUUGAGGGCAGAGAAACCAGUGGUGAGCAGUGGGUAAGGGUCUGACCAGUAGAGUCAAGGACAAUGCGAGAAUUCACACACAUGAAGAAACACAUGGACACACAUGCAGAUCCAGAUAUUCACCCAGACUGGGGAGAGAAAAUAGCCAGAAUUUAAGGCAGUCCCAUCUAUCCUUAUAGACCGGUCUCUGCUACCUUGGAAGACUUAAUAUUUGCUUCCACAGAGAUAUCAAGUAGACUGUCAUGCUUUGACCUUGCUUACUUUCAUGAAUUCCAUUAACACCUUAAAUUGCACCCAACAUGGGUGCCCUCCCAACUAAUACUUAGCAUGUUAACUUUUUGAAUCCUUGGAUAUUUUUGAGUAUAAUUAAUUUGGAGCACAAUUAAGCACCAUCCUCUCAUUCAUUUCAGUGGGUCCUGACAGAAUUGUACUGUUAAGGAAGUGGUAUAUCCAUGCUUUUGUAGCUGCUACUAAGGAUGUUACACAGAGGGGAGAAAUAGAAAGAAAUUCUGUUCCUGGUAUCAGAGAGUUAUUUCCCAUUUAAUUUUGUGGUACUUACUUUGAAAGUAGCUGUUAUACUCCAGACACUUUGUUUUUGUGGCUGCCACAAACUAUGUUGCAUUGGUUGAGGCUCGGUGAGAUAUUCAUUGAAAAACUAUAGCAAAAUGUGCUGCUGGAUGUCCUGCAAAAACAAAGUUUUUGCAGUUUAAUCAACCUUUUCCAUAUAUUUAUGCUAGAACCAAUUAGGAAAUGACAUUUAUAAUCCAGGAACAAAAAUCGUGUUACAUAGUGAUAAUGUUUCCAUAAGUGAAUCAAAGAGGUAAAAUAUCAAUUGAAUGGUUCAAAUUGACCAGAUAGGUUUGACCAGUCUAUAGUUCAAACUUAUUUGUAACUUUUGGAUUGGCAUAGUGAGGAAUUUCAUACUUCCCAUCAAUCCUAAUUUAGUAGGGAUGAUUCCAAUCCAUCUUCUGUCAUCUCAUUUUUCCAAUAGCCUUAAAAUGUACCAGUUUCUCUCUCUUCCUCCCACCUUCCCCCUUCCCACUUUACUUUGAUUACUGCAAACUGAGUUCAGAGUCCAAAACUUAUUUGCACUCAACUCUACAGUGGGAAGGAAGAGGGUAGAAUCUUGUUCUUCCCAGUAGAUUCGGGGAAAAGAAAAUUGCUGCAUCCUCUCUUAAGUUCUGUCUUCUUUCUCAUUCAUAACUUUUGUCAUCGUGAACACGUUCUGAUGUUGUUUGGCCACAAGUGUCUCAAUUUUAAUCUAUGAAACAGAGGGUAUCAAAUUCACAUUUUUUUAAAGUGACUAAUAAUAAAAUAUAAUAUACUUUAUUUAUAUUUCACCCUAUCUCACCAAGGGGACUCAGGGCGGAUUAUGGUACACAUAUAUGGCAAACAUUUAAUGCCGUUAUGCAAAAGACAGUACAUAAACAGAGGUAAAGGCUUCCCAUCUUUUCCCAUCUCCAGUAUCUGGAGGCUGUGCUCGCACUCCUGCCAUUUUGGGGGGUGGCGGUGGUGUUGCUCCAUCUUCCAUGCCAAGGAGCCUUGUUGUCCUUAGAUGUUCUCUUGAUCUAAUCACCAGCAUGUCCACAUGAGCACCUUUUAUUACCUCCCCGCAAAAGAAGUACCUACUUAUCUACUCACAUUGCUGUUUUCAAACUGCUAGGUGAGCAGAAGCUGGGCCAACAGUGGAAGCUCGCCCCAACUAUAAUGGUAAACUGUUCCAUUAGAAUAACUUGUCUGCUUUAAUGACCCUUUAUCAUCUGAAGGUGGCCAAUCCCCUCCUACACAAGAAGACACUUUCCAAACUUGAGUGUUUUCAAGUGUGAUUAAAUAGGACUUAGGUUUCUGAUCUGAGAUCUGCUAACUGAGAUACUAACUACAUCUUGACAUCAUCCCAAUUUUCAGUUAACCUUUCUCAAAAUCAGUUACAAUAUUGAAGUGAAUUUCAUUAUUAUUGUGGGAUGGAGUCCCAGGGCAAUUACUGGAGAGUGCAUUUCACGAAGCUAAACUAAACAUGAUUAUCACAGGAUUGCAUAGGUUAUUAAGAUCUGGGAACUGGAUUCCUUCAACAUUUUGACCCUUUCAUCCUCUUUGAUAAGGUUGAGUAUUCCAUAUCCAGAACUCCAAAAUUGAAAAUAUUGAAAAACCCAAAACUGUCCACAUGGCUGUCUGAAAUAGUGACCCCUUUGUUAUCUGGUGGUUCAGUGGACAUACACACAUAAACAUGCAUACAAAAUUGGGGGAAAAUGAAAUACAGAACAAUUCAGGUUUUCAGGGUUUUGGAUAAGAUAUUCUCAACCUGUAAUAUAUUUUGCCACCAGGAAGUACUACAGGAGACACAGGCUUAAGUCCUGUUGUUGGUUCCAACUAGGGUAAAGCUACAUGAUUCAAUGGGAACUCGAUAACUUGAGUCUGCUCUGGGACAAACAAUGGGCUUUGGACUAUACACAGUCUCAGGAUCCAUUAUUCAUAUUGCCAUUUUAAAAGAAAAAAACCAUACUAUGUUUCAGCACAGUGUUUUCUAACUGUUUUAAGAGCCGUUACAAGCUUGGUAAUGGAAUAUCAUGUACUGAAAUAUUGUGCAGGCCAAUAUGUCUGCCAAAAUCUACCAGCAUCUCUAGAGCUUUACCUACACAGAAGUGGCAUUAUCUGUUCAGUCUUCAGGUCAAAGAUGAUCACAUUUUAAAUUGCUUGUCGAUAUGAUUCGUAUUGUUAAAACCGAAAUUGGUGUCAAAUGUCUGUGUUUGUUGUGUCUGUAUUUUAUUUUGACAAUCUUGUACUUCUCAGCCUUCUCAAAGUGAAAGCAUUAUCAAAAAGUUGCAAAUUAAAAAGUGUGAAAUCAGUAA